UGGGGAAUAUUGCACAAUGGGCGCAAGCCUGAUGCAGCCAUGCCGCGUGUGUGAAGAAGGCCUUCGGGUUGUAAAGCACUUUCAGCGGGGAGGAAGGCGUUAAGGUUAAUAACCUUGGCGAUUGACGUUACCCGCAGAAGAAGCACCGGCUAACUCCGUGCCAGCAGCCACGGUAAUACGGAGGGUGCAAGCGUUAAUCGGAAUUACUGGGCGUAAAGCGCACGCAGGCGGUCUGUCAAGUCGGAUGUGAAAUCCCCGGGCUCAACCUGGGAACUGCAUUCGAAACUGGCAGGCUAGAGUCUUGUAGAGGGGGGUAGAAUUCCAGGUGUAGCGAUGAAAUGCGUAGAGAUCUGGAGGAAUACCGGUGGCGAAGGCGGCCCCCUGGACAAAGACUGACGCUCAGGUGCGAAAGCGUGGGGAGCAAACAGG
RNAcentral lists this ribosomal RNA (429 nucleotides) under Chloroflexota bacterium. RNAcentral describes it as "Chloroflexi bacterium partial 16S ribosomal RNA". It matches the Rfam family "Bacterial small subunit ribosomal RNA", at positions 355 to 776 of the family's 1533-position model. The record is from RNAcentral. Lineage: Bacteria; Bacillati; Chloroflexota.